UACGGAGGGAGCUAGCGUUGUUCGGAAUUACUGGGCGUAAAGCGCACGUAGGCGGCUUUGUAAGUUAGAGGUGAAAGCCCGGGGCUCAACCCCGGAAUUGCCUUUAAGACUGCAUCGCUUGAAUCCAGGAGAGGUGAGUGGAAUUCCGAGUGUAGAGGUGAAAUUCGUAGAUAUCAGGAGGAACAUCGGUGGCGAAGGCGGCUUCCUGGACACUUACUGACGCUGAGACGCGAAGGCGUGGGGAGCAAACAGG
This 253-nucleotide ribosomal RNA is filed under the name uncultured bacterium. RNAcentral's name for it is "partial 16S ribosomal RNA". It matches the Rfam family "Bacterial small subunit ribosomal RNA", at positions 524 to 776 of the family's 1533-position model. The record is from RNAcentral.